RNAcentral lists this ribosomal RNA (1154 nucleotides) under uncultured organism. Its description in RNAcentral is "bacterial SSU rRNA". It matches the Rfam family "Bacterial small subunit ribosomal RNA", at positions 108 to 1281 of the family's 1533-position model. The record is from RNAcentral.
GAGUAACGCGUGGGUAACCUGCCUUAAACAGAGGGAUAGCAAGUGGAAACGCUUGGUAAUACCACAUAAAGCCUAAGCAUUGCAUAAUGAAUAGGUGAAAGGAGGAAUCCGGUCUAAGAUGGGCCCGCGUCCAAUUAGCUAGUUGGUGAGGUAAGAGCGCACCAAGGCGACGAUUGGUAGCCGAACUGAGAGGUUGAGCGGCCACAUUGGGACUGAGAUACGGCCCAGACUCCUACGGGAGGCAGCAGUGGGGAAUAUUGCGCAAUGGGGGGAACCCUGACGCAGCGACGCCGCGUGAAGGAAGAAGGUCUUCGGAUUGUAAACUUCUUUGAUUAGGGAAGAGGAAGGACGGUACCUAAAGAACAAGCCACGGCUAACUACGUGCCAGCAGCCGCGGUAAUACGUAGGUGGCAAGCGUUGUCCGGAAUUACUGGGUGUAAAGGGCGAGUAGGUGGAUCACUAAGUCAGAGGUGAAAACCCAUGGCUAAACUGUGGGAUAGCAACUGAAACUAGAGAUCUUGAGUACUGGAGAGGGAAGCGGAAUUCCUAGUGUAGCGGUGAAAUGCGUAGAUAUUAGGAGGAACACCAGUGGCGAAGGCGGCUUCCUGGACAGAGACUGACACUGAGGCGCGAAAGCGUGGGGAGCGAACAGGAUUAGAUACCCUGGUAGUCCACGCUGUAAACGAUGGAUACUAGGUGUAGGUGGUAAGAAACCAUCUGUGCCGGAGUAAACACAAUAAGUAUCCCACCUGGGGAGUACAGCCGCAAGGUUGAAACUCAAAGGAAUUGACGGGGGCGCGCACAAGCAGUGGAGUAUGUGGUUUAAUUCGAAGCAACGCGAAGAACCUUACCAGGGCUUGACAUCCCUUGAACUAUCUAGAGAUAGGUAGGGCCUACGGGACAAGGAGACAGGUGGUGCAUGGUUGUCGUCAGCUCGUGUCGUGAGAUGUUGGGUUAAGUCCCGCAACGAGCGCAACCCUUAUAGCUAGUUGCCAGCAAUAAGAUGGGGACUCUAGCGAGACAGCCGUUGAGAAAACGGAGGAAGGAAAGGAUGACGUCAAAUCAUCAUGCCCCUUAUGCUCUGGGCUACACACGUACUACAAUGGCUACUACAGAGGGAAGCGAAGCCAGGAGGCGGAGCAAAUCUCAAAAAG